This 1225-nucleotide long non-coding RNA is filed under the name Equus asinus (donkey). RNAcentral's name for it is "lncRNA (ENSEASG00005038776.1)". The record is from RNAcentral. Lineage: Eukaryota; Metazoa; Chordata; Mammalia; Perissodactyla; Equidae.
AAAACAAAAAUUUAAUCAAAAUCAAAUCUCCAAUUGAGCCUAAUGGUCUUCUAGUGUUGCCAAGUGCUAAGGGUCUAGGUACGUGUCUACUCACCGUUCCCAAAACUCAUUCUCCUCUUUGCUGUUUUGAUUCUCCUUUCCUUCCUAUUCGCUAGCUGAGGAAGAUUUCAUGUCUCAUCUCUAAGGGUUUCAGAGCACUGAUCUUCCCUCCUCCCUUCCCCAUACUUCUGGGUACAUCAGACCAAACUGUCCCAAAUCUCCUCCAGAGGGAAUAUCUACUGAGAAAUCCUCAUGAGGCCUCUCUCUCGAGUUCCUUUACAGACUCCAGGAAGAACACAGAAUAUCUCAGUGUCUUCUCUGCUGGGAGCCAACUCCCUCACCCCCAGAGAGGUCUUCACCAACAGAUCAAUAAAGGAAACGCGUCAGCUGGGUGACCGUGGUUGGGAAAAAGAGGGGUGAACAAGCUCAGCACGGUCUGUGGAGGUGUCGAGCUCACUCCCCACGGCCUUCUCUGUUUCAGACUUGACAAAAUGUCUUUCUUCUCAUCAUGGAUGAAAGCUAUUUUCCUUAUUGCCUUGCUAUUUCCUCUUCACUCUGUGAAUCUGGUGGAAAAUUUGAUUUUUGUCAUUAUGGUGAAUGCUGACUCUGCCAGAGUUACACAUUCCUACGCCUUUUAUUGCAAUCCUCUUUUGCAGUGGAUUCUACAAGCAAUUAGAGUAUUCUCAACCAGAGUUUUAAAUUCCAAGAUGACUGGACAAAGCCUGCUCUAGUAUACAAGAUGGAAUAUAGGAUGUUGAAGAAUUUUUCCAAUUCUAAGAAACUGUGAUUGAAAAAUUUUUAUCCUGUUUGUUGAAUUAUGAAUGACAGUUGCAAAAUUAUCUUAAUUGUAUUUGACAAUAUAAAACCUAAUGUAAUUCACAAUCAUAAAUCUUUCAAGCAAUGAAAGUUAAAUAAUACUAUCUUUGUUAAAAUACCAUUUCUUUCGUUGGUUGGUUAGUGCAUUAAAGCAAACAAAUGCUUUUGGUAACUAUGAUUAAAGAAGCAUUUUCAAAGGUGGACACAUAGUGCAUUACCUCGAUGUUUAUUAACAGUACAGACACUUGGGCUCUUGCUUAUCCUAAAGAAUCAAAACCUCUAGGAGUGAGAUCUGGGAGCUUGAAUUUUAACAAGCACUGCGGGUUGAUCUACGAUCCCAAAUAUUAGGGAAUAUGGACUUCAAUUAUAA